This 99-nucleotide non-coding RNA is filed under the name Palpitomonas bilix. The record is from RNAcentral.
AAAGGAAGAAAGGCAGGAAAGGAAAGAAGAGCAAGCUGAAUAGGACUGCCUAUGCUUGAGUCGGCAUGAUUUUUUUCUUUUUUUGUCUUUGUUUUUGUU